Sus scrofa (pig) is the source of this 1205-nucleotide long non-coding RNA. RefSeq lists it as uncharacterized. The record is from RefSeq and is a predicted model, not a curated record. NCBI's taxonomy places the organism in Eukaryota, Metazoa, Chordata, Mammalia, Artiodactyla, Suidae.
CGGGAAGCUGGUCAAUGAGCAGGGAGCAGCUGCACGUGGGCUCAGGCUCCGCGGGCGGCUGCUGGCGGCGCUGGCCAAUGGCUAGGCUGCUUUCCCACGUGGGUCUCGGUCGCCGUCGCUGAUUGGUCGGCUCUCCCCAGCCGCCGGCCGGACUGUCAAUCAGCGCGCCCGGCGCCGCAGCUUAACCCUCGCGGUCCCGCUGCAGGAAAGGGUUGCUUGCAGAGUCAAGUUCCAGGCUUCCCAGGAGCCAAACCCAGGGCUGUGCAUUUUAUCAGCGAAUUUUCCCUGCUGCUCUUCAAGCCCAGGGACAGAGGCUCUGAGAAUCUGAGAACCAAAAGCUGGAGCUGCAAAGGCCUUGGGACUAUUGGCCUAGUUCAGCUCUCUCAGGUUCAAGGCCAAGAGAGAAAGAGUGAACCUCCCAGUGGGCCACGUGGGCCACAGACAAUAGCCAAGUGACAACAGUGCAGGUGAAGCUGCCGAAAGGCUGGAGGUAGAGGGUGUGUGUUUCCAGGCAACAGAUGAAUGACCAAGAAACUGCAAGCCAGAGACCCUCCAGAGAUGCUGGCCGGGCUGGGAGUUGCCCAAGGACCCUAGGCCCCCAGCUGGCCCUGCUCCCAGCCACCACAUGAACUUAGCCUGGCCCCAGGAAAAGUGAAUUGAUUGAAUUACCCGGCAUUGAUUGAGGUUUGCUUUCUGCCACCUGGUGGAAAGAGGGCUCUGGUGGUCAGGAAUCUGGGGGUGGCUUCCCUGAUUCGGUGUGGAUCACUGGAAAAAUCGAGAUUUGAUAACCAAGAAGACCAUCAGGAUCAUGCUGAGAUCUCAUGACACCAACUUCGAUGACUAAAGAUUCCCCCAAAGAAAGAAGAAUGCAUUAUUGCUCUCAACACUGAUUCUUAUCCAGAACCCUGUUUUUCUCCUUUUUACUGUAAAACUGCCUGCAGUUCUUCCCAAUGGAAGGCACAGUCUUUAAGGCCUAGACUGCUGUGGCCUCCUUUGCCUGGCAAAUCAGUAAAACUGUUCUUUUCUCCUUUACCAAAAACUCUGUCUCUGCAUUUCUGUUCAGCACCAGUGGACAGAGGCCAAGUUUCAGCAACAUCAUGUCCACAGCUUCAACUAACUGUGGAUUGCAUAGUGCUUCAGCAUUUACUACAGGAAAAAAAACAAAACAAAACAAAAACCCGCAUACACAUAAAAGAAAAAAGGAG